CUGAAGAAAGGUACUUAGACAUGUUCCCCACAGGAUGUGUUAAGGUGUUGGCCAAUCAUCAAAUAUUGUCACUCCAAAGAACACAUUUAACAGCCGGGAAGAAAAUUGUAGGAAAAGAGAGCACUUUGGCACGGAAGGGGUCUAUCGCCCUGGUUGGAGUGCAGCAGUGUAAUCAUAGCUCACUGCUGCCAUGAACUUCUGGGCUCAAGCGAUCCUCCCACCUCAGCCUCCCUGUGUGCUGGGAUUAAAAGUGUGAGCCACCGUGCCUCAUCGUAAGGGUCUUAAAAGAAACCCUAUUUCAUACUUUCUUGAUGCACUUGAUAUGGAUUAUAUAAAUCUAUGGACAAAAAUGACAUCAGUACAAUGGAAUAUUGGAGUUUUCUACCAUAAUCUCUGCAUAGUGCACUGAUUUUGACAAUCACCUAUGGAUGAAAAUACAUUUGCCAGAGUCUAGGAGUUAAAUGGAAAAGUUAACAGCACACCGUUGGAGAAAAAUAUCUGGGAGUAGAUGCAUUCAAGGGAGUAAGAAGAACAAUUACCUGCAUCACCUCACCCCCAGGGUCCACUUCUUAGUGCCAAGAUAGACUCCCUUCAGCAGGCAAUUUCUCCCAUGGGGAAAAGGAGAGUAUAAUGAGUGAGUAUCCAGCUUUUCCAGCUGUGUGAGGCACAUCCCAAGAAGCCCAUCUUUCUUUCACUCAACUCAGAAUAUUGAGGGUAUUAGCAUGGCUAAGUGGCUGGGACAGGGCAGUAGCAGGAAAGAAAGGAGAGGACUCACAGCAACCAGGACUUGAAACUCAGUACAGGGUACAUAUCCUUUGAAGCAUUUCACAGAGCCCAUCAGGAGGCCCACCCAUGAACCACUUGGGACACCAUAUCUGUAGCAUCUCCCUGCAACUGGCCCAUAGGAGCCCCCGAUGUUUUGUGCAUAUUCCCCUUCCCUUUCUCCUAUAGUCAGUUGCCUGCACAUGCACUCCAGAUGGUGAGUGUGAGCAUUUACCUACAGCUUUUGAGUACAUGCAGUCAGCAGGCUCAACUUUGAAGGAUUGGGAGGAAUACAAAAUUGAGCAUUUCAGGGCACUGUCCUAGAGGAAACAAACAGAAAGCUUUCAGGACCCAGUUUGGUUUUGUGGAUUUAAGAGAAGACACACAAUCAUCAGAAUUUCUUCUCCACCCAUCCAAGAAGUGUGGAUUGGGUGAAUCCAUAGAAAAGAUCUGAGAGAGCCUCAGAUUCCCUAUAGGCUCACUGUUGAAGAUAUUUCUCUCAAAUCCAGUCAGUAAAGACUAGAGAAAGUGACUCUUUCUUCAAAUGUGAAGACAGCAGUGCAAGACUUUGAGGAACAUGAAAAAUCAAGGACACCUAGUACCACCAAAGGAACAUAAUUUUCUGGUACCCAACCACAAAGAAAUGGAGAUACACAAAUUGUCUGACAAAGAAUUCACAACAAUUGUUUUAAGGAAGUCAGUAAGCUACAAGAGAACACAGAGAACUUAAUGAUAUUAAGAAAGCGACACAUGAACAAAAUAAGAUGUUCAACAAAAAGAUAGAAAUUAUUAAAAACAACCAUGAUUUUCGAGCUGAGAAUACAAUGAAUGAAAUGGAAAACACAAUAGAGUUUCAAUAGCAGACUUGAUCAAGCAGAAGAAAGGGUCUGUCAACUCAAAUACUAGUCAUUUGAAAUUAUUCAGUAAAAGAAAUAAAAAGGAAUGAAAAAUGCUUAUGCGAUUGAUGCAACACCAUGAAGAGUAGUCAUAUAUGCACUAUGGGAGUCUCAGAAAAAGAAAGAGAUAAAGGGGAAGAAAACUAACUUAAAGAACUAGAUCAGUCUCUCCUUAUCUGUAGUUUUGCUUUCCUUGGUUUCAGGUACAGUACAAUGAUAUGUUUUAAGAGACAGACAAUGAAAGAGAACAUGCAAAUAUUGACAUAAUUUUUAUUACAGUAUAUUGUCAUAGUUUUUCUAUUUUGUUAUUAGUUGUUAUUCUCUUACUGUGCCUAAUUUAUACAUUAAACUUUAUCAUAGGAAUAGUGGUGGUGGCCUGUCUGGAGUGGCCACUGCCAGGAUGCCAGCUGCAGCAGGGGAGGUGUAGCUGGGGCUGUGCACUCCGCAGAGCUGGGGGGGGCCAGGAACAGGUGAUCCUAGUGGGAGCCCUAUAUGCUACUGAGUUAGUGGGGUGGGAGCCUGUGCUCCCAGGCAUAGCUGCAGCUGCCCAGCCAUGGCUCCAGCCCUAGGCAUACCUGUGCUCUCAGGGGCCCUGGAAGUCCCCUGCCCUUACAGGCUUGGAAGUGCCUGCUCCCAUUCCCUGGCCUCUUUCCACUGCUGGCACCUGCUCUGUGGCAGAGCAAAGUUGUGGAUGUGUUGUGAUAGCUGAGCCUGGGAGCUGUUGUGACGUGGUCAGGUGUGUGUGUUCAGGGCAGUUCUGAUACACCAGACUCCCCACUGCCUUUGCCCCCUCUGGAAACUGCUUCUGAGGCUGAAACUUUGGAUAUUAAUGAGCAAGGAUGGUGGGGGAGGCCAGGACGGCUGAGGGCAGCUAGGUGUGGGCCUGUGGACACCCCUUAGUGCGGACAGUCUGGGUGCUGUGGAUGGCAUGUUGAUGGCAGCGAGAGGCAGACAUGUUCCUAGGUGGGAACGGGUGGGUCCCUGGUGAAACCUCACCUUCAAGCCAGGGACAGCUUGAAGCAUGGGGGCCUGGCUGCCAGUUCCGGUUGCAGUCUGUGACCUGGAGUGAAAACUUCAUUGAUGUCUUUCAGCCAAUUGGAUGGUGCUUUUUCCAGACCCACAAAUGGCUGCCCAUGGACCAAGCAGUAUGUACUUCCUCCAUUCUGAGCCCAUGAAAACCCCAGACUCAGUCAGACUCUGACACUCAUCAGGAUGACAAGCCUGCAAAUAGGAUCUACCCAUUUUGGGUAUGCACUCCACUGAGAGCUAUUCUGUCACUCAAUAAAGCUCCUUUCUGCCUUGCUCACCCUCCAGUUAUUCACAUAACCUCAUUCUUCCUGGAUGUGGGACAAGAACUCAGGACCUGCUGAAUGGUGGGAGGGAAAGAAGCUGUAACAUGUUCCUGGCCAGCUCACCAAGCUGCAGGUGGUGACAUACUCCUGGACUAUGGGAGUGAAGAGUAGUGACCCUUCUGGGGGCCCAGACCUUGAGAUUCUCCGAGCCAGAGCUGCAGUAACACUAUAGCUCUCCUGCCCUCUGCUGGUGCUGGGUGGCCCCCCAAUGCAACAGGACGCAGCAGCAGGCCUGGGCCAGCCCAGGAGCUGGGAGCCUGAGUGGGGUGGUGGAACUGAAAGGGCUAUAACACAAACCAACCAAAACAUGCCCCACUCACUUGCUGCACUGUGGGUGAGGAGAAGGAGAAAAGAGCUGCAGCCCUUCUAGGAAGCCAGACUUUGGGGCUCCCUGAACUAGGGCUGUGACAUGCUGUAACACCUUCUUUAGGAUUCUGCACUUCCUGGCCUCUCUGAGAUUUUGGAUGCCACCGUGUUCCCUUUGUCCAGAUGCUGGUGUCCGCAGCAGAAGCCACUUGUGAUAUAUCUGGUCCAGCUGCAGCUUCACAUGGAUGAGGUGCCUGUGCCGGUGCCUGUGCCAGUGCCUGGAGCUGCCCGCCCCACCACAGCAGCUAGCAUGCCUGGCUGUGUGCAGUGCCAGAUCCCACACUUGCUCACUCACACACACCUCACCGCUCCAUGCCUGGCUUGCCCUUGGAAGGAGUACGAUCCAGGCCGGUAGCAUGAGCCAAGUGCAGCCUGCCAGCCUGAGUGGACAGAACAAGCCCAGGGGGCAUGAACAAAACUCAAGCAGAAGCACUGCUGUCCACAGAGGUUUCUGGCUGGCAAAGCAACACCCUAAGGAUCCUAUGACAAUAGGUAUAUAUGUAUAGGCAGAAACAUAGUAUAUAUUGGUUUUAGUACUAUCCAUGGUUUCAGGCAGCCACCAGGGGCUUGGAAUGUGUCCCUGUAGAUAAGGGAGGAGGAUUUUAAUAGCUGAAAACUUCUCCAAUCUUGGGGAAGAUAGGGGCAUUUGGGUACAUGAGGCUUAAAUGUGCCCAAAUAGGUUUGACUUAAAGAGGACUUCACUGAGACACAUUAUAAUCAAAUUGUCAAACAUCAAAGAUAAUUUUGAAAGCAGUAAGAGAAAAGAAACUCAUCACAUACAAAGAAACCCCAUUAGACUAUCAGAUUUCUAAGCAUGAAUCUUGCAGGCCAGGAGAGAGCGAGAUGACAUAUUUCAAGUGCUGAAAGAAGAAAGAAUUGUCAACCAAGAAUACUUUACCUUGCAAAACUAUCUUCCAGAAAUGAAGGAGAGAUAAAGACUUUGCCAGAUAAAGAAAAUAUGAGGGAUUUUAUCACCACUACAUAUGCCUUAUAAAAAAUGUUAGAGGGAGUUCUUCAAAUGGAAAAGUAAGGAUUCUAAUUAGUAACAUGAAAACAUAUGAAAGUGCAAAACUCACUGGUAAAGGUAGCAUAUAUUGUCAAGUUCAGAAUACUCUAAUGCUGUAAUGGUGGUGUAUAAACCACUUUUACUCUAGGAUAGAGGUGAAAAGACAAAAUUAUUAAAAAUAAUCACAAUAUGCUGGUGCGGUGGCUCACACCUGUAAUCCCAACACUUUGGGAGGCUGAGGCAGGCAAAUCAUGAGGUCAGAAGUUUGAGACCAGUCUGGCCAACAUAAUGAAACCCCAUCUCUAUUAAAAAUACAAAAAAUUAGCUGGAUGUGGUGGUGUGUGGCUGUAAUCCCAGCUACUUGGGAGGCUGAGGCAGGAGAAUGGCAUGAACCUGGGAGGCGGAGGUUGCGGUGAACUAAGAUCACCCCAUUGCACUCCAGCCUGGGCAACAGUGCAAGACUCCAUCUCAAAAAAAAAUUCACUAUAAUAAUUCGUUAAUGAAUAUACAAUAUUAAAAAAGUAAAUUAUGAUAUCCAAAACUUAAAAUGUGGAAUAGGGGAGUAAACAUGUAAAGUAUAUGCAAUCAAAGUUGAAAUCAGUUUAAAAUAGACUGUUAUAAAUAUAAGAUAUUUUCUGUAAGCCCCAUGGUAGCCACAAAGUAAAAACUUUAGUAGAUACAGAAUAAUUAAAGAUAAAGAUAAUAAAUUAAAGCAUGCCACUGCAGAAAAUCAUGAAAUUACAAAGGAAGAGCAAGAGAGGAAAAAAGGAACAAAAUAACUACAGAAGAGAAAACAAUUACCAAAGUGGCAAUAAUAAAUCCUAACGUAUCAAUAAUUACUUUAUAAAUGAACUAAAUUCUGUAAUCAAAAGACCUACAAUGGCAAAAUGGAUAAAAACAAACAAGUAAGAUUCAAUAAUAUGAUGUCUACAAGAGACUUGUUUUAGCUUUGAGGACACACAUAGGCUAAAAGUGAAGAGAUGGAAAAAAUAUAUUCCAUGCAAAUGGAAACUAAAAAAGAGCAGGAUGAGUAUCUGCUAUUUAUAUAACAUAAAAUAGAUUUUAAGUCAAAAACUGUGCAAAGAGACAAAGAUAUUUAUAAUAUAAUACAUAAUAUCUCUAUAAGCUUAUAAUCAUAUAUAAUGUAUAUUAUGUUAUAUAAUGUAUAUCCUUAUAUCUAAUAUAUAUCCUUAUAUCUUUAUAUUUAUUAUUAUAUAUGCCAUAUAUAACUGUAAAUAUAUGAUAUAUAUAAUUAUAAAUAUCUUUGUCUCUUUUUGCAGUUCGACUUAAAGUCUAUUUUAUCUUAUGUAAAUAACGGAUGUGUUUAUCUUAUUAUAUAUUUAUAUAAUAAGAAAGGGGUUAAUUCAUGAAAAGGAUAUAACAAUUGUAAAUAUAUAGGCAUCCAACAUCACAGCACCUAAAUAUAUCAAUCAAAUAUAAACUAGUCUGAAGGGAUAAAUAGAUAAUACAAUAAUAGUAUUUCAAGAUAAUAUGCAUGGUAGACCACAUAUAAUCUAUUGAAAUUGUAAAAAAUAAAGAAAAACACAAGAGGACUUCCUCAUAGUUACACAUUGGUGAAAAGAAAGUGUUCUAGUUACCACUCUUGUACAUUUGGUGGAUAUUCUCAAUGUCCUGCACUAUGCUAGGUCUUAAAGAAGUAUAAGACUUGCACAUGUAUCUUGAAAGAGUAGCUCAUUGCCCAGCAUAGAAAGAAAGAGGAGUAGAAAAUUUCAGGCAUGGAUAAAGGUGCAGAGGUGCAAAUAUAUAUACACUACUCAAUAGUAGGUAAGGGAGUAAUGGCAACUAACGUUAAGGAACAUUGUCUACCGUAUUGUGAAGGGUGACAAAGGUCAUGCGUACUAAUAUGAUGAUUAACUGUCUAUAGCAAGGCUAUGAGUAAAAUUUAAAUUAUAUGCAGCCUAGGUAUUGAAAUUUGACAACCAAUAUAAAUGAAUUCAUAUGUUUAUGAAACAUUCUUUAUUUCUUUUUAUCAAUGACCUAGUAGAUUCAGAAUCAAUUUUUCAGUGCUUUUCAAGAUAAUUUUGAUACGAUUGGAAAUAAAUAGUUCUAAAUAUUAAAAGAAAACCUGAAUUUUUGCAAUGUCCUUUCUAAAUUUAUAAACACAAAAUUUUCAUACUGCAGAGAUACUUGGGAAAAAAAAUAUUUGUUGUUUAUAUAUACUCACCCAGAAUCUACACAAUUACAAAUUUCCUUAAGUUUCUGACAGCAAAAAAGAACAUGAAUAACUAAAUACAGAGAAUCAUAAUUGGAACAUAUUCAAGAGGUGGAGAAUCUAUUUAAAACCGACAACUCAACAGAUGUAGUCUAGUCAAUGGUUAUAUUUGCAUAAGCAUGAAAGCCAAACAAACAUGUCUGAAAUCUCAUUGGUAAAACACUGUAUGAUUUAAAAAAUUUUGGGGGGGUUGUCAGAACUCCUUUUUAGAUUUAUUGCAUCCCCUCAACAGAAGAACCGACUGCCGAGAAAUUCAAAACACAUCCGUGAAAGCAGAAAAUUAUAAUGUGACAAGUGAAGAAUUGAAAUGGAUUCACCCUAAAAGCAGAGCCAAAUAUCAGCCAUUGUCAUGGGCCCCUAGGAGGACUGAGUCUGGUGAUGCACGAAUACCAGAAUGCAAGUGUGGUGCAAUGACAGCAAUAACACAUGUGUGCACCUUGAAGCCAGAGGGAUGGAAACCCCAGCCAAUGUCUCUUUCUCUUUUCAGCCAUGUAAAUUCCAAUCUUGAUCAAUAAGCAAUCCAGGUGUCAAUGAAAGUGGAAGGAAUACAUAUUCCUCCUCCCACAAAUCUUAAACAUUAAUAGCAGCAGGAUUCUCCUUUCACAGAAAAGCAUGAUUUUAAGGUUUUGGUCCCCACUGAACACAAAUUCCCAAGAUACAAAUAAAAGUACUUUGAUUUAUAGAUUAAUCCAGACAUUUUUAUGUUCUGUAGGCCUGACAUAUGCUUGACAGAAACCCCACAAGGUCAGAAAGUCCUGUUGUCUAAGAAAGAAUUUCUCUUCUGCUUUCUUGCUCAUUUUGGCCUGAGAGGAAGGUGAUACUACAGUUAGUUGUGGUCUUAAUAAAGAGCAUUGAAGUCAGAAUUCAUAAAUUUAGGCUUUUUUCUUUCUCAGGAAUUAUUGAAAAGAAUGGCUUACAAUUUUUUAAAAUUUAUUUUGGGAGAGAUAAUCAUAUUAUUUAGGGAGAGAGAUAGUUAUAUUAUUUUUCUGAAUCUCUCAAGCUUCACAUAACAGUGAAAGAUUCAUGAACCACUGAUUUAAAAAAGGUACAAAAGCAACAGUUUUUAAACCACCUGCUAUAUACUCAUUUGACAAUAUUAAGGGGCAAUGCUUCUGGUGUUUUCAAAGAAAUUGGAGUAGUGGGCAGGAGAGCUAUAAUUAAGGAGGAGCACUGCACUGGGAUUGGACCAAGGUUUUAUAUUAAGAACAACAUUCUGUUUUAUCCUAACUAGUGUAACUUAUUCAUUCCACAAACAUGUAUUGAAUAACUUCUGAAAAUAAGGCUCUUUUUGCCUUCAAUAAGAUCUCUGCAUGUAAAAGAAAAAUACUAGUACUAGUUAUACAAAAACUUUGAAAUAAUAUAUCAGCAGGAGGCAAAAUCAAAACAAAAUAAGGCCUGGUGUGGUGGCUCAUGCACUUUGGGAGACUGAGGUGGGAGAAUUGCCUUAGACCAGGAGUUUGAAACCAGCCUGGGCAACAUAGAGACCUUGUCUCUACAAAAAAUAAAUACACUAGCAGGGUGUGGUGGUGGAUGCCUGUAGUCCUAGCUACUUGGAAGGCUGAGGUGGGAGGAUCACUUGAGCCCAGAAGGUAGAGGCUGCAGUGAACUAUGAUCAUGCCUUUGCACUCAAGCCUGGGCAACAGAGCAAAACCCUAUCUUUAAGCAAACAAACAAACCAACAAAACAACAGGACCCCUGUCGUAUCUCUCCCCAUGAAUAAUAUAACAGGCAAUUUCUUGAAUAUUAAAACUGGUAUUCCUUAUAGAUUAUUACAGUGGCCUCACUUUAAACAGAAGAACCUGAAGCCCAAAAAGGUUUGCUUUCCAUAUGCUGGAUGAUGUGUGUGGAUUUUCAGUGUGUGUUUCAGAGUCUUAAAAGCUCAUGCUAGCUUGCUUAACAUACCUGCCAUAACUCAUGAUAUAGAACCCUAUGGAGAACUGUGUUGCAACAUGGAUGCAGUGCCUAUACUAAGGCACAUUGCCAAGCUGAAGACUGUCAGAGAGCAUCACUAACGGAGGGCCACUGUCAUAAGGACGCCUGGAAGAGUGAAGAAAGGCCUGAUUGAUCACAAGGUCCUAUCAAAUGUCAAAGCUGGCCCUGGCUGACCUCCCAUCUAUUCAGAGCUGCUUUGAUUUAAUCUCCAAACUGGCUGCUUCUCCAGGCUAGAAGAGAAUUGAAAAUUUCAAGAAGGCAAAGGUGAUGGAAGUGUCUUCAUGAGACCCUUGGGUAACAUAAAUUGGCAAAGAAUUGGAUGAUCUGGGUUCUAAGAUCUGGCCUUAAAACUAGCCAUCUAUUGACUGAGUUCCCAUCAUUUCUACCGCUUUCAUCAGUUCUUGUGCAGCAGAAUGAGGUCCCAGCAGGGUUUUCUCUCAUUGCUGCCUCCACCCUCUGCCUU
This 9010-nucleotide long non-coding RNA is filed under the name Homo sapiens (human). Its description in RNAcentral is "HSALNT0064612". The record is from RNAcentral. Lineage: Eukaryota; Metazoa; Chordata; Mammalia; Primates; Hominidae.